UGGGGAAUAUUGCACAAUGGGCGAAAGCCUGAUGCAGCAACGCCGCGUGAGUGAUGAAGGUCUUCGGAUUGUAAAGCUCUGUCUUUUGGGACGAUAAUGACGGUACCAAAGGAGGAAGCCACGGCUAACUACGUGCCAGCAGCCGCGGUAAUACGUAGGUGGCGAGCGUUGUCCGGAUUUACUGGGCGUAAAGGGUGCGUAGGCGGAUGUUUAAGUGAGAUGUGAAAUACCCGGGCUUAACUUGGGUGCUGCAUUUCAAACUGGAUAUCUAGAGUGCAGGAGAGGAGAAUGGAAUUCCUAGUGUAGCGGUGAAAUGCGUAGAGAUUAGGAAGAACACCAGUGGCGAAGGCGAUUCUCUGGACUGUAACUGACGCUGAGGCACGAAAGCGUGGGUAGCAAACAGGAUUAGAUACCCUGGUAGUCCACGCCGUAAACGAUGAGUACUAGGUGUAGGAGGUAUCGACCCCUUCUGUGCCGCAGUAAACACAUUAAAGUACUCCGCCUGGGAAGUACGAUCGCAAGAUUAAAAAC
Molecule: ribosomal RNA, 531 nt
Filed under: uncultured bacterium
Lineage: Bacteria
Description: partial 16S ribosomal RNA
Rfam family: Bacterial small subunit ribosomal RNA
Source: RNAcentral